Molecule: long non-coding RNA, 945 nt
Organism: Ruditapes philippinarum (Manila clam)
Lineage: Eukaryota; Metazoa; Mollusca; Bivalvia; Venerida; Veneridae
Exons: 5
Source: RefSeq, a predicted model, not a curated record
AUCAACGUCAACAAACCUCAAUGUUAUAUGUCCAUUUUCAAGACCGAUGUGUUAAAUAGCCAUUGUGUAAAAUUUGCUGAUCACUUAAAGACGUACCUCAGGCAGGAGCUAUAGAUAACCAGAAGAAACAAGUGCAGUUUAGUGAAAUUGUACCAUAGCGCGGCGUACAGUACUACAUGAUGCAGUGAAAAGGUUCCUUAACAAUGCAAGGGAGACAACCUUAUUUUGGAUUCUUUGACCACUGAGUGAGGCUGCCACAAGGGUGAAUUAUACUUGCAUAUACAUGUUGGGUAAAGCACAAAGUGGAGACAAUCUGAUGACCAGUGAACACUUACAGUCUUGGAUGAAAAUAGGAAAAGAAUGUCAUUCAAAAGGCAGCCUUUGUUGAAAUAAUUAUUAUGUUGGCACUGUAAGUACAUGCUGGGUUUCUGAUGUCUUCAUACCUCCAGAUAAUUGGAUUCUUAAACUUAACAGCCAGAAAUGGAAAAUCCAUGUUGUUUUAAGGAAAGCAGAGCAACAAGAAAAUCAUGUACAAGAGCCUACGAAACAAAACAGAAAAGUAAAAUUGUGACAGGCAUAUGUGCAAGGGAGGCAACUUAAAUUUUGAUUUUUUGACCAGCUGGCCCAGUAAGUGGCUAAAAAAGAUUGAGAAGUUACAUAUAUAAUCAGUGGAAGGGAGACAACUCAUAUUUUGAUCCCUUGACCAACUAUUCAGACAGAUUUUAUAAUCCAUGUUAUUAUGAAAUGUGAAGAAAGUACAGGUAAGAAUUUAUCACAUUUAAAUAACAGGAGACAUUAAUUGAAUUUAUUAACUGUUGAUAAGAAUUCUUAUCUGUCCAGACAUUAGAAAUAGCAUGUUGUCUGUUUUGAACCCAGUAAACAAUAUUCAAAUAUUUAUCUAAUAGGAUAAUUUGCAGGGCUUUCAGGUUUCAAGUUGUGAUAAUG